This 253-nucleotide ribosomal RNA is filed under the name uncultured bacterium. RNAcentral's name for it is "partial 16S ribosomal RNA". It matches the Rfam family "Bacterial small subunit ribosomal RNA", at positions 524 to 776 of the family's 1533-position model. The record is from RNAcentral.
UACAGAGGGUGCAAGCGUUAAUCGGAAUUACUGGGCGUAAAGCGCGCGUAGGUGGGUAGUUAAGUUAUGUGUGAAAGCCCCGGGCUCAACCUGGGAAUUGCACGUAAGACUGGCUAUCUAGAGUAUAGUAGAGGGAAGUAGAAUUUCCGGUGUAGCGGUGAAAUGCAUAGAUAUCGGAAGGAAUACCAGUGGCGAAGGCGACUUCCUGGGCUAUUACUGACACUGAGGCGCGAAAGCGUGGGGAGCAAACAGG